RNAcentral lists this ribosomal RNA (253 nucleotides) under uncultured bacterium. Its description in RNAcentral is "partial 16S ribosomal RNA". It matches the Rfam family "Bacterial small subunit ribosomal RNA", at positions 524 to 776 of the family's 1533-position model. The record is from RNAcentral.
UACGUAGGGGGCAAGCGUUGUCCGGAUUUACUGGGCGUAAAGCGCACGUAGGCGGAUCGAUCAGUCAGGGGUGAAAUCCCAGGGCUCAACCCUGGAACUGCCUUUGAUACUGUCGAUCUGGAGUAUGGAAGAGGUGAGUGGAAUUCCGAGUGUAGAGGUGAAAUUCGUAGAUAUUCGCAAGAACACCAGUGGCGAAGGCGGCUCACUGGCCCGAUACUGACGCUGAGGCACGAAAGCGUGGGGAGCAAACAGG